GUCGAGAAUCUUUCACAAUGGGGGCAACCCUGAUGGAGCGACGCCGCGUGGAGGAUAAGGUCUUCGGAUUGUAAACUCCUGUCAUGCGUGAACAAGGUUGCUUGGUUAAUACCUGGGCAAAUUGAUGGUAACGCAAGAGGAAGAGACGGCUAACUCUGUGCCAGCAGCCGCGGUAAUACAGAGGUCUCAAGCGUUGUUCGGAAUCACUGGGCGUAAAGGGUGCGUAGGUGGCGUGGUAAGUCAGAUGUGAAAGCCCGGGGCUCAACCUCGGAACUGCAUCCGAUACUGCCAUGCUAGAGUACUGGAGAGGUGACUAGAAUUCUCGGUGUAGCAGUGAAAUGCGUAGAUAUCGAGAGGAAUUCCAAAGGCGUAGGCAGGUCACUGGACAGUUACUGACACUGAGGCACGAAGGCCAGGGGAGCGAACGGGAUUAGAAACCCGGGUAGUCC
This 449-nucleotide ribosomal RNA is filed under the name uncultured bacterium. RNAcentral's name for it is "partial 16S ribosomal RNA". It matches the Rfam family "Bacterial small subunit ribosomal RNA", at positions 354 to 796 of the family's 1533-position model. The record is from RNAcentral.